This is a long non-coding RNA of Esox lucius (northern pike), 896 nucleotides long. NCBI's taxonomy places the organism in Eukaryota, Metazoa, Chordata, Actinopteri, Esociformes, Esocidae. The record is from Ensembl.
GUACGUAUAACAACAGUGUCAGGGGGGUGGGCCGAGUGGCUAUGGGUUGGCGUGGAAUCUAGGUGCAGGGUGGCUCCGAGGUCCAGGGUGACAAACAGGUGCAUGCAGUUGUCGGGUUUGUCUAGGCAGGGGAAAAAGCAGGGUUACAGGUAGGUAAUCAGAAAACAGGCAGACAGGCAAAACAGGACUAGGUCAAUACAGCAAAGGUUUAGCUGGUGUGCAAAGCUCAACAUACGGUUGAGACUUAACAAUCCGACUGGGGCUGGAAGUCAGGUCCUCUCUGUAGUAGUUUAUAAGGUACGGUCAUGAUGGUAUCAAUACUAGAGUAAAUACGGUAAAGGGAGGGGCCAUUGGACCUUCCAGGGUUUGGCUGUUUGAGGGGGUACAGAGUUGGAAUAAACGGACUCACCUUGGCUCUGUGUCUGCGUGUGUUAUUAUAUCUCCACAAAUACUACACUCUUCUAAAUGCUGUGGUGGAUUGCAGAUCAGGAACAGGUGCGAGAGUGGAUAAUGACUGUCAGGUGGGGAACACCCCGCCCCCGCCUCGUUGCCCGGACAACCAGAACACAACACCAGGACAGACAUGGAACAGACGCACCGGGCAAACAUACCAACAAACAACGACGGAAACAACAUGUACAUUGAACAAACAAGAGUCACGGGGAAGGGGGCGUGACAAACAGUGAUAUGACAGCAAUGGAACAUGCUGACCCUUAACCAUUCCUCAGCAAGUAAUACUUAUUCUAACUGCCUGGACCACCACAAGGUAAUGUGUUGAGUGACUUACAGAACAGAAUGUUAAUGAUGACUGUAGGUAGGCAAUGUAAUUAAUGACUGUUUGUAGAGGUACUGUAGGCAAUGAAGUUGGGUACUGUUUGCAGAGGUACAUAUUGUAA